AACGAUGCUCCGCCGCUUGUGCGGGCCCCCGUCAAUUCCUUUGAGUUUUAGCCUUGCGGCCGUACUCCCCAGGCGGGGUCACUUAAUGCGUUAGCUACGGCGCGGAAAACGUGGAAUGUUCCCCACACCUAGUGCCCAACGUUUACGGCAUGGACUACCAGGGUAUCUAAUCCUGUUCGCUCCCCAUGCUUUCGCUCCUCAGCGUCAGUAACAGCCCAGAGACCUGCCUUCGCCAUCGGUGUUCUUCCUGAUAUCUGCGCAUUUCACCGCUACACCAGGAAUUCCAGUCUCCCCUACUGCACUCUAGUCUACCCGUACCCACUGCACACCCGGAGUUAAGCCCCGGGCUUUCACAGCAGACGUGGCAAACYGCCUGCGAGCCCUUUACGCCCAAUAAUUCCGGAUAACGCUCGCGCCCUACGUAUUACCGBGGCUGCUGGCACGUAGUUAGCCGGCGCUUCUUCUGCAGGUACCGUCACAAAAAGCUUCUUCCCUGCUGAAAGCGGUUUACAACCCGAAGGCCGUCAUCCCGCACGCGGCGUCGCUGCAUCAGGCUUGCGCCCAUUGUGCAAUAUUCCCCACUGCUGCCUCCCGUAGGAGUSUGGGCCGUGUCUCAGUCCCAGUGUGGCCGGUCACCCUCUCAGGCCGGCUACCCGUCAUCGCCUUGGUGAGCCAUUACCUCACCAACAAACUGAUAGGCCGCGAGUCCAUCCAAGACCGAUAAAAUCUUUCCACCAGCACCCCAUGCGAGGACUGGUCGUAUCCGGUAUUAGACCCAGUUUCCCAGGCUUAUCCCAGAGUCAAGGGCAGGUUACUCCACGUGAUACUCACCCGUUCGCCAMUAAUAACGCCAGGUGCAAGCACCCAGCAUCAUCGUUCGACUGCAUGUGUAAGCACCCCCAUC
Molecule: ribosomal RNA, 904 nt
Filed under: Nesterenkonia sp. 119 JDE-2009
Lineage: Bacteria; Bacillati; Actinomycetota; Actinomycetes; Micrococcales; Micrococcaceae
Description: partial 16S ribosomal RNA
Source: RNAcentral